This 555-nucleotide ribosomal RNA is filed under the name uncultured bacterium. RNAcentral describes it as "partial 16S ribosomal RNA". It matches the Rfam family "Bacterial small subunit ribosomal RNA", at positions 355 to 900 of the family's 1533-position model. The record is from RNAcentral.
UAGGGAAUCUUCCACAAUGGACGCAAGUCUGAUGGAGCAACGCCGCGUGAGUGAAGAAGGCUUUCGGGUCGUAAAACUCUGUUGUUGGAGAAGAAUGGUCGGCAGAGUAACUGUUGUCGGCGUGACGGUAUCCAACCAGAAAGCCACGGCUAACUACGUGCCAGCAGCCGCGGUAAUACGUAGGUGGCAAGCGUUAUCCGGAUUUAUUGGGCGUAAAGCGAGCGCAGGCGGUUUUUUAAGUCUGAUGUGAAAGCCCUCGGCUUAACCGAGGAAGCGCAUCGGAAACUGGGAAACUUGAGUGCAGAAGAGGACAGUGGAACUCCAUGUGUAGCGGUGAAAUGCGUAGAUAUAUGGAAGAACACCAGUGGCGAAGGCGGCUGUCUGGUCUGUAACUGACGCUGAGGCUCGAAAGCAUGGGUAGCGAACAGGAUUAGAUACCCUGGUAGUCCAUGCCGUAAAACGAUGAAUGCUAGGUGUUGGAGGGUUUCCGCCCUUCAGUGCCGCAGCUAACGCAUUAAGCAUUCCGCCUGGGGAGUACGACCGCAAGGUUGAAAC